Molecule: ribosomal RNA, 253 nt
Filed under: uncultured bacterium
Lineage: Bacteria
Description: partial 16S ribosomal RNA
Rfam family: Bacterial small subunit ribosomal RNA
Source: RNAcentral
UACGUAGGUGGCAAGCGUUGUCCGGAUUUAUUGGGUUUAAAGGGUGCGUAGGCGGCUUUGUAAGUCAGUGGUGAAAUAUGGCAGCUCAACUGUCAGGGUGCCAUUGAUACUGCGGAGCUUGAGUACAGAUGAGGUAGGCGGAAUUGACGGUGUAGCGGUGAAAUGCUUAGAUAUCGGGAGGAACAUCAGUGGCGAAGGCGGCCUUCUGGUCCAGUACUGACACUCAAGUGCGAAAGCGUGGGGAGCAAACAGG